CAAUAGCGUAUAUUUAAGUUGUUGCAGUUAAAAAGCUCGUAGUUGGAUUUCGGUUAAGAGCGACCGGUCCGCCGCUUGGUGUGCACUGGUUGGUUUUAACUUCCUGUAGAGGACGUGCUCUGGGUUUAACGACCUGGACUCGGAGUCUACGUGGUUACUUUGAAAAAAUUAGAGUGUUCAAAGCGGGCUUACGCUUGAAUAUUUCAGCAUGGAAUAACACUAUAGGACUCCUGUCCUAUUUCGUUGGUCUCGGGACGGGAGUAAUGAUUAAGAGGAACAGUUGGGGGCAUUCGUAUUUCAUUGUCAGAGGUGAAAUUCUUGGAUUUAUGAAAGACGAACUUCUGCGAAAGCAUUUGCCAAGGAUGUUUUCAUUAA
This 375-nucleotide ribosomal RNA is filed under the name uncultured eukaryote. RNAcentral describes it as "partial 18S ribosomal RNA". It matches the Rfam family "Eukaryotic small subunit ribosomal RNA", at positions 592 to 976 of the family's 1831-position model. The record is from RNAcentral.